RNAcentral lists this ribosomal RNA (563 nucleotides) under Leucopaxillus tricolor. Its description in RNAcentral is "partial small subunit ribosomal RNA". It matches the Rfam family "Bacterial small subunit ribosomal RNA", at positions 409 to 951 of the family's 1533-position model. Lineage: Eukaryota; Fungi; Basidiomycota; Agaricomycetes; Agaricales; Tricholomataceae. The record is from RNAcentral.
UGAGUCAUUUUAGGUGAUUGUGAUAACGUAAGGGAAAAAUCUGAUAUUACCUUACUAUAAGUGUUGUCCAAAACUGGUGCCAGAAGACUCGGUAAGGCCAGAGACGCAAACGUUAGUCGUCCUAAUCAGGCGUAAAGGGUAUGUAGGCUGCUUGAAAAGUGUCUCUUUAUAAUAGCUCUAUAUUUGAGGUAUUUUAGAAAUAGAUUUCUAAGGUAGAUUAGAUAUAGUUACAGAGAUAUGAAUGAAAGCUAGAAUCAAAUAGAGGAUAAACCAAAUAAUACUUAGAGUAGGGCUGAUAUCCAUAAAUACUAAGGGGAAUACUAAAGGUGAAAACUUUUUAUCUAUUAUUGAUUGACGCUGAGAAACGAAGGUGAGAAUAGGAAAUAGGAUUAGAUACCCAGAUACCUCUCACUGUCAACGAUGAAUGGUGGUUGUUAGUUUUUAGAAAAACUGGUAACGAUGUUAACACGAUAACCAUUCCGCCUUGCGAGUACGGUUGCAAAACUGAAACCAAAAAAAUUAGUCGGUCUCGAAGCAAACGGAGUGAAGCAUGUUAUUUAAUU